AACUGUGCUUUUUCUGCUCUGCAGGAAAGAUGCAACCUGGGCCAGAGGCCCCUGGAGGUUGUGCCUGAACCCAGACAGAUCACACAAACCUGAGCAGCCAUUAGCCGCUGUGUGGGCUCCUUUGCACUGUGGGGCUGCUCCUGGGGAUAUUUACGUUGUGAACUGGUAAAAUCUGAACUGCAGAAUAUCAAUUUCCAGACAUUCUUCCUAGAUGAUGCCGUCUGCCACGGAGACCAUGUAGAUGGAUUGAAUGGGGAUAUGAUGAGGAUGACCACCCCUGCAUUUGCUAAGUUCUUGGGAGUGGCAUCGAUCUCAGCCAUUCCACUGGAAUAGGGUCAGGAAACAAAACGUGAGGGCUCUACCAGCUGCUCAGUCUAUCCUUUCCAAUUGAGCACACUGGAACUGAGGAAGCAAAGACAGGAUAAUGGACCUUAACUAGUGGGCUGAAGGCAAUGAGGGGAUGUGAGGAUGCAUCUUGUGAAGGACAAAAGUCAUCCUGUAAGGAUUCAUGAGACCUGAGCAGCCAGCCAGCCCUGAAAUGGUUGGAACAGGAGAAAGAAGAAGAGCUCGACAGAUACCCUGCCUGGGCUGGCAGCUAGCUGCACCACAAGCUGGCCAGCUGACAGCGGGCACAUCCCUUCAUCACCCAGUGCCUUUCUUCCCUCUUGUGAAAAUGGAGAUAUGCUGAGAAGGUUACUUCAGCUCAUCCAGAGAAAGCUUCUUCAGCUAACUAGGCUGUAGAAAGGGCCUACAGCCUAAAUUUUCAAAAACAAGUUAAUGCCAGAAUAUAAACUCCGUGAAGUAACAGAUUGUGUCGGUUUCAUUCCUGCAUGUAUCCCUGGUGCCUAGACAGUGUCUGGCACACAGUAGGUGCUCAACAUUGACUGAAUGUGAGGGAAAAACCUAUGUAGUUCAAUACUAUGUAGACAAGAUCAUAAAUGAUCACUAUUUAAAUUGUGUGUGUUUUCCUUGACAUGAGUAACCAAGAGUCGGCUCCUUCAGGCUGAUAGAAAAUCCUGCUUCCUGGAAAUGAGCAAAUAGAAGAGAUAUCUGCAUUUCCAUGGUUGUUGCAGCUCUGUUCACAACAUCCAAGAUUAGGAAGCAACCCAAGUGUCCAUGAACAGAUGAAUGGACAAAGAAAAUGUGGUACUUACAAUAGAGUGCCAUUCAGCUAUAAAAAAAGAAUGAGAUUAUGGCCAGGCAUGGUGGCUCACACCUGUAAUCCCAGCACUUUGGGAGGCAGAGGCGGGUGGAUCACGAGGUCAAGAGAUCGAGACCAUCCUGGAAAACAUGGUGAAACCCUGUCUCUACUAAAAAUGCAAAAAAAUUAGUUGGGCAUGGUGGCGCAUGUCUGUAAUCCCAGCUACUCGGGAGGCUGAGACAGGGGAACUGCUUGGAACUCAGGAGAUGGAGGUUGAGCUGGGACUGCACCAUUGUACUCUAGCCUGGGCAACAAGAAUAAAACUCCAUCUCAAAAAAAAAAAAAAAAAAAAAAAAAGAGAUUGUGUCAUUUGCAACAACAUGGAUGGUCAUUAAGUGAAAUAAGUCAGGCACAGAAAGACAAACAUCGCAUGUUCUCACUCAUUUGUGGGACCUAAAAAUACACACAAUUGAAUCAUGGAAAUAAAGAGUAGAAGGAUGGUUACCAGAAGAUGGGUAGGGUAGCAGGGUGGUAUGGGGGAGGUGGGGAUGGUUAAUGGGUACAAAAAAACAGGAAGAAUGACUAAGACCUACUAUUCGAUAGCACAACAGGGUGACUACAGUCAAUAAUAAUUUAAUUGUAGAUUUUAAAAUAACCAGAAGAGUAUAAUUGGAUUGUUUGUAACACAAAGGAUGCUUGAGGGGAUGGACACCCCAUUUUCCCUGAUGUAAUUAUUAUACAUUGUAUGCC
This 1891-nucleotide long non-coding RNA is filed under the name Homo sapiens (human). RNAcentral describes it as "HSALNT0372073". Lineage: Eukaryota; Metazoa; Chordata; Mammalia; Primates; Hominidae. The record is from RNAcentral.